This 457-nucleotide ribosomal RNA is filed under the name uncultured bacterium. RNAcentral describes it as "bacterial SSU rRNA". It matches the Rfam family "Bacterial small subunit ribosomal RNA", at positions 28 to 475 of the family's 1533-position model. The record is from RNAcentral.
GAUGAACGCUGGCGGCGUGCCUAAUACAUGCAAGUCGAGCGAACGGACAAGGAGCUUGCUCCUUUGAAGUUAGCGGCGGACGGGUGAGUAACACGUGGGUAACCUACCUAUAAGACUGGAAUAACUCCGGGAAACCGGGGCUAAUGCCGGAUAACAUGUUGAACCGCAUGGUUCAACAGUGAAAGACGGUCUUGCUGUCACUUAUAGAUGGACCCGCGCCGUAUUAGCUAGUUGGUGGGGUAACGGCCUACCAAGGCGACGAUACGUAGCCGACCUGAGAGGGUGAUCGGCCACACUGGAACUGAGACACGGUCCAGACUCCUACGGGAGGCAGCAGUAGGGAAUCUUCCGCAAUGGGCGAAAGCCUGACGGAGCAACGCCGCGUGAGUAAUGAAGGUCUUCGGAUCGUAAAGCUCUGUUGUUAGGGAAGAACAAAUGUGUAAGUAACUGUGCACGU